This 253-nucleotide ribosomal RNA is filed under the name uncultured bacterium. RNAcentral's name for it is "partial 16S ribosomal RNA". It matches the Rfam family "Bacterial small subunit ribosomal RNA", at positions 524 to 776 of the family's 1533-position model. The record is from RNAcentral.
UACGGAGGGUGCAAGCAUUAAUCGGAUUUAUUGGGCGUAAAGGGCGUGUAGGUGGAUAUGUAAGUCAGAUGUGAAAGACCAAAGCUCAACUUUGGAAUGGCAUUUGAAACUGCAUGUCUAGAGGGUAGGCGGGGGAAGCGGAAUUCCACGUGUAGCGGUGAAAUGCGUAGAUAUGUGGAGGAACACCUGUGGCGUAGGCGGCUUCCUAGCUUAUUCCUGACACUGAGGCGCGAAAGCAGGGGGAGCAAACAGG